GAUGAACGCUGGCGGCGUGCCUAAUACAUGCAAGUCGAGCGAACAGACGAGGAGCUUGCUCCUCUGACGUUAGCGGCGGCCGGGUGAGUAACCCGUGGAUAACCUACCUAUAAGACUGGGAUAACUUCGGGAAACCGGAGCUAAUACCGGAUAAUAUAUUGAACCGCAUGGUUCACUAGUGAAAGACGGUUUUGCUGUCACUUAUAGAUGGAUCCGCGCCGCAUUAGCUAGUUGGUAAGGUAAUGGCUUACCAAGGCGACGAUGCGUAGCCGACCUGAGAGGGUGAUCGGCCACACUGGAACUGAGACACGGUCCAGACUCCUACGGGAGGCAGCAGUAGGGAAUCUUCCGCAAUGGGCGAAAGCCUGACGGAGCAACGCCGCGGGAGUGAUGAAGGUCUUCGGAGCGUAAAACUCUGUUAUUAGGGAAGAACAAAUGUGUAAGUAACUAUGCACGUCUUGACGGUACCUAAUCAGAAAGCCACGGCUAACUACGUG
RNAcentral lists this ribosomal RNA (497 nucleotides) under uncultured bacterium. Its description in RNAcentral is "partial 16S ribosomal RNA". It matches the Rfam family "Bacterial small subunit ribosomal RNA", at positions 28 to 507 of the family's 1533-position model. The record is from RNAcentral.